RNAcentral lists this ribosomal RNA (324 nucleotides) under uncultured eukaryote. RNAcentral's name for it is "partial 18S ribosomal RNA". It matches the Rfam family "Eukaryotic small subunit ribosomal RNA", at positions 1470 to 1796 of the family's 1831-position model. The record is from RNAcentral.
CCCUUAGAUGUUCUGGGCCGCACGCGCGCUACACUGAUGCAUUCAACGAGCCUAUCCUUGACCGACAGGUCCGGGUAAUCUUUGAAUCUGCAUCGUGACGGGGAUAGAUUAUUGCAAUUAUUAAUCUUCAACGAGGAAUGCCUAGUAGGCGCAAGUCAUCAGCUUGCGUCGAUUACGUCCCUGCCCUUUGUACACACCGCCCGUCGCUACUACCGAUUGAACGUUUUAGUGAGCUCCUCGGAUUGUCAGCCUGGCGGUUAAUCCUGCCUGGCUAGCGAAAAGACGAGCAAACUUGAGCGUUUAGAGGAAGUAAAAGUCGUAACA